Molecule: long non-coding RNA, 263 nt
Filed under: Ricinus communis (castor bean)
Lineage: Eukaryota; Viridiplantae; Streptophyta; Magnoliopsida; Malpighiales; Euphorbiaceae
Description: long non-coding RNA (RCOM_LNC002637)
Source: RNAcentral
UGUAAUGACUCAUUAGGCUGUCCCCUAAUAAUACACAGGACAUCAACAACAGUUGAGUGAAAGAAACAGAAUAUGGGACAGUCUGAGAAAAUAUAGGAAGAAGACAUCUUUUUUCACAUAUGCAAUCACAUUGCAAAAAAAUUGCAGGAACGUAUCAUUUGCUGUUUCUCAAAGCAUGGCAAAGCUGUUGAGUUCGUUUCCCAUCAACCUGAACUCAAUCAACUUCAGUUGAUGGAUGGAAGGACAAGAUUCACCUGAGAGAU